CCAAGAACAAGAUGGCUGAGGAGGACAAGGGAAAUGAAGGACUUUGCUGUCUCUUAAGAAGAAGAUCGUCAGUGGUGUCAGAAGGGUUACAAGUCGUCCUUCAACAAUACAAGACUGCAUUAGGUCUUGAGGCCUCUGUCCUUCUACAUGUUGAAGAAGAAGAUCAAAGUGACCUCAGCAGUCCAGAUACCAGCGAGGAUGAAGAGGAAAACAUAAUUUAGAUAGAAACUGCACAAAGGACUGCGUUUAAGGAAAUGGACUUGGCAUAUAUAUGUGUAGUGUUAGUAUGCUAACUACAUUAUUAUCUGUAUGCAUCCUAUAUUGUUAAAAUGUUCAACCUGUGUCUAGAUUAUCAAGCAUGUUAUUUAGCACGUUGAUGCUCCUUAAAUAUGCACAAACAUCUCAAUAUAGGUGCAAGAAUCGUAUGAUAUUAUCAGAUGUAAUAAUUGAACUUAUGUUAUAUUUGGCUAGUGUAUUCAUAAGUUGUGUAUUUAAAGUU
Molecule: non-coding RNA, 499 nt
Organism: Misgurnus anguillicaudatus (oriental weatherfish)
Lineage: Eukaryota; Metazoa; Chordata; Actinopteri; Cypriniformes; Cobitidae
Source: RefSeq, a predicted model, not a curated record